GAUGAACGCUGGCGGCGUGCCUAAUACAUGCAAGUCGAGCGAACAGACGAGGAGCUUGCUCCUUCGACGUUAGCGGCGGACGGGUGGGUAACACGUAGGUAACCUACCUAUAAGACUGGGAUAACUUCGGGAAACCGGAGCUAAUACCGGAUAAUAUUUCGAACCGCAUGGUUCGAUAGUGAAAGAUGGCUUUGCUAUCACUUAUAGAUGGACCUGCGCCGUAUUAGCUAGUUGGUAAGGUAACGGCUUACCAAGGCAACGAUACGUAGCCGACCUGAGAGGGUGAUCGGCCACACUGGAACUGAGACACGGUCCAGACUCCUACGGGAGGCAGCAGUAGGGAAUCUUCCGCAAUGGGCGAAAGCCUGACGGAGCAACGCCGCGUGAGUGAUGAAGGUCUUCGGAUCGUGAAACUCUGUUAUUAGGGAAGAACAAACGUGUAAGUAACUGUGCACGUCUUGACGGUACCUAAUCAGAAAGCCACGGCUAACUACGUG
Molecule: ribosomal RNA, 497 nt
Filed under: uncultured bacterium
Lineage: Bacteria
Description: partial 16S ribosomal RNA
Rfam family: Bacterial small subunit ribosomal RNA
Source: RNAcentral